This 248-nucleotide ribosomal RNA is filed under the name uncultured bacterium. RNAcentral's name for it is "partial 16S ribosomal RNA". It matches the Rfam family "Bacterial small subunit ribosomal RNA", at positions 524 to 776 of the family's 1533-position model. The record is from RNAcentral.
UACGUAGGUGGCAAGCGUUGUCCGGAUUUACUGGGCGUAAAGAGCGCGCAGGCGGUUGUUUAAGUCGAAUGUGAAAGCCCCGGCUCAACUGGGAGGUCAUUCGAUACUGCCGUGCUUGAGGACUGGAGAGGAGACUGGAAUUUACGGUGUAGCGGUGAAAUGCGUAGAUAUCGUAAGGAAGACCAGUGGCGAAGGCGGGUCUCUGGACAGUUCCUGACGCUGAGGCACGAAGGUCGGGAGCAAACGGG